GAGGGUAUAACUCAAAUGGGAGAGCACAUACUUAGCAUGUACGAGGCCCUGGGUUCAAUCCCCAGUACCUCUU
Molecule: transfer RNA, 73 nt
Organism: Camelus ferus (Wild Bactrian camel)
Lineage: Eukaryota; Metazoa; Chordata; Mammalia; Artiodactyla; Camelidae
Rfam family: tRNA
About the family: Transfer RNA (tRNA) molecules are approximately 80 nucleotides in length. Their secondary structure includes four short double-helical elements and three loops (D, anti-codon, and T loops).
Source: Rfam